AGAGUUUGAUCCUGGCUCAGAAUGAACGCUGGCGGCGUGCUUAACACAUGCAAGUCGCACGAGAACGCUUUAGCUUGCUAGAGCUAGUAAAGUGGCGCACGGGUGAGUAACGCGUGGGUAAUCUACCCCUGAAUUUGGGAUAACGUUGCGAAAGCGACGCUAAUACCGGAUGAUAUCCUGGUAACUUCGGUUAUUGAGAUCAAAGGUGGCCUCUACAUGUAAGCUACUGUUUGGGGAUGAGCCCGCGUACCAUUAGCUAGUUGGUAGGGUAAAGGCCUACCAAGGCGACGAUGGUUAGCUGGUCUGAGAGGAUGAUCAGCCACACUGGAACUGACACACGGUCCAGACUCCUACGGGAGGCAGCAGUGAGGAAUUUUGCGCAAUGGGGGAAACCCUGACGCAGCAACGCCGCGUGAGUGAUGAAGGCCUUCGGGUCGUAAAGCUCUGUCAAGUGGGAAGAACCUACUUAUGGUUAAUACCCAUGAGUACUGACGGUACCACUGAAGGAAGCACCGGCUAACUCCGUGCCAGCAGCCGCGGUAAUACGGGGGGUGCAAGCGUUAUUCGGAUUUACUGGGCGUAAAGCGCGCGCAGGCGGUUUUGUAAGUCAGAUGUGAAAGCCCUGGGCUCAACCCGGGAAGUGCAUCUGAUACUGCAAGACUUGAGUAUGGGAGAGGGAAGUGGAAUUCCUGGUGUAGAGGUGAAAUUCGUAGAUAUCAGGAGGAACAUCGGUGGCGAAGGCGACUUCCUGGACCAAUACUGACGCUGAGGCGCGAAGGCGUGGGGAGCAAACAGGAUUAGAUACCCUGGUAGUCC
This 816-nucleotide ribosomal RNA is filed under the name uncultured bacterium. RNAcentral's name for it is "bacterial SSU rRNA". It matches the Rfam family "Bacterial small subunit ribosomal RNA", at positions 8 to 796 of the family's 1533-position model. The record is from RNAcentral.